Long non-coding RNA from Perognathus longimembris pacificus (Pacific pocket mouse), 567 nucleotides. RefSeq lists it as uncharacterized. The record is from RefSeq and is a predicted model, not a curated record. The transcript is spliced from 2 exons. NCBI's taxonomy places the organism in Eukaryota, Metazoa, Chordata, Mammalia, Rodentia, Heteromyidae.
CCUCGGAUCUCAGCUUCCUGGGUAGCUAGGUGCCUGCUCUAUGAAACUCUUAGAAGAACCAGAGUAAAUCUUUGUGACCUUACACAGUCUUCAUACACGAUGCCAAAGGUACAGACAACAAGAGGAAAAACAUAAAUUUGACUUUAUCACAACUUAAAACUGUUAUAUGCUGAAGGACCUUAUCAAGAAAGUGGAAAGAGAAUCUAAGAACAAGAGAAAAAAUUUCAAACACAUCGCUCUUUUAUUAUCCCCUCAAUGGUGAGGCCUGAAGCAAACACAAUACCACUGUGCUUCACCCUCAACCAAAAGCAUAUAUUAAAUAAAUAAUCUACAUCUAGAGAAUAUGAACUUUUACAGAUAAUAAGACCAGAAACAUAACUUAAAAAUGAGCAAAGGGCAUAAGAGAUAUUAUGCCAAUAAAGCCAUAUAAAUAAACUAAUAAGCACACAAAAAGAUGCUUAACAUCAUCAGUCUUCAAUGAAAUGCAAAUCAAAACUACAAGAUUCCAUUUGAUAUCGUGUACGACAGCUGCAACUUUUAAAAGGUCGACAAUAAGUACUGGAUAUA